GGGGCUGGGGCUCAGUGGUAGAGCGCUUGCCUAGCAUGCACAAGGCACCAGGUUCCUUCCUCAGCACCA
RNAcentral lists this transfer RNA (69 nucleotides) under Marmota monax (woodchuck). RNAcentral's name for it is "tRNA.Ala". The record is from RNAcentral. Lineage: Eukaryota; Metazoa; Chordata; Mammalia; Rodentia; Sciuridae.